RNAcentral lists this long non-coding RNA (2776 nucleotides) under Sus scrofa (pig). RNAcentral's name for it is "lncRNA (ENSSSCG00055008517.1)". The record is from RNAcentral. Lineage: Eukaryota; Metazoa; Chordata; Mammalia; Artiodactyla; Suidae.
GGAUACUUUCAAAUUUGUAGGCACUCUCUGACCUUUUGGGUCAGAGAGGUAAGCACUUUUCUUUUUCUUUAAAUCGCACAAUACUUUUUUUUCUUUUCUUUCUUCCUUCUCCUUUCACACACACAUGCACACACACAUACACAUUCAUACACACUCACUCACUUUAAAUUUGUAAGACUGGUCAGGGGCAGUGGUGUGUUCUCAACCAGGAUGCUGAGGUUGAGAAACCCUGCUCUUGGUCUCAUGAGGGAGUUGUAGUCCCAUAACUGAAGUUCCAAAGCCAAAUCCCAUCAGUUUUCUGUUUUUGUUUUUGUUUUUGCGCCAUGGAAUAAAUCUGGCAUCAAAGACUUACCCUUAGAUAGAAUCCACAAAUAAAGCAGGUCAGGAGAGAAGCCAACCUAUUAAGUUGUGAAUAUCCUAGGACUUUAACAAGUGUACAGGAGAAGAAGGAAUAGAAAAUUGUUACCUUUAGAAGUUCUCCUUCCUCUCUUCCCUCCCGCAUGUGCCCUUCUCUAAAGAAGGGAGAUUCAGGGUGGAUAAAGAUCUCAAGACAUCUCUUGCUCUGGCUUUUGAUCCCUCUUCUCAUUUACUUCUCUAUGCAGGGUGUAGAAAUCAUAGGUCAAAGCACAGACCUGAUUAGAAUGUAGAGUGUUAAGAGAGGCUGGCGCUGUCUUUCUCUGCCUUCGGGUUCAGCAACUGACACUGGAAGAAGUCGUUGCUAUUGACAUUAUUCGGGGAACAAUUUCAGAAGGGCCCUGGGAUUGCCUCGGAUGUUGUGAGAAGUACUUGAAUGCCAUCUGCAUGGCAAGGGGCUUUUAGAAAGAGAGGCGCCUCCUUUAAAAGAAUCACAAUGUUUUUAAUGUUAAUUACGCAGGCUCCUUCAUUAAUCAGUAAACUCCUCUAUUUAUACACAGGGGGAACUGGAAAGUGUUUCAAAAUGAAGGUUACCUAGUGGCUCCAAAAGAGAAAUUUGCUCUGUAUUUAUAUUUUGGGACUUUGAUGGUGAGCGAUUUCAGACAUCUAUCAGAUGGAAGGCUGUCUGCUUGGAGAUGUGCCUCAGUGACACACACGUUUCAUAGACUGGCUUCAAGUCUUUGCCAAGGUCUUUCUAUUCUUAUUUGUAAAAGUGCCAUCAUUCCUUUCUAGGGAUGUAACUGGAGAACAAAUCUUACAGAGAUGGUUGAGUUUUUUUCCAAUCCCAUCUUUUGCGGAGAAUCAGACUCCCCUUUGAGAAGAACCCAAGGUGAAGGGCACAACUGUCAGUGGAGAAACCUUAUCAUUGAUGUCUACUUCCUACUUUUUAAAGUCUUAACCAUGAUUGACUAAAGGCAGUUUUUCUUUAAAAAUUAAAAGAAAAAAGCAUUGCAAAUAAUGUUUGUACAUUUGAGCAUUCAAUAGCCCAAUAUCAAUGAAAGAUUUUUAUACAAUCAAAAACAGUUAUUAGGAAGGACCCAGUGUUAUUUUACGUCUUCUGGGGUACUCUUGCCAAAAAUGCAUAAUCUCCAUUCCUGGGAUGACAUCAGAUCCCCCAAAUUGAGGGACAUUCUACAGUAACUCAUCAGGACUCCUUUGUCAAGAAUUUGAAAGAUCAGGAAGGACUAAGAAAUUGUUGUAUGAGGGGUGGGGGUAGGGCCCUAAGGAAAAAUAACUGAAUGCAACAUGGGAUUCUGGAACUAGAAAAAGAUGUUAAGGAAAAACCUGGAACAAUUCAAAUAAGGUCUGUCUUUCCAUUAAUAGCAUCUUGCCAAUGAUAGUUUCCUGGCUUUGAUAAUUGGACUGUGGUUAUAUAAGAUGACAUUUUGGGGAAGCUGGGUGAGGGGUAUAUGGAAAACUAUAUUAUUUUUGCAACUUUUCUGUGAUUCUAAAAUUUGUUCAAAAUAAGCUGGUUGUUUUCAAAAGUGGUAAUUAUUAUCCACAGUGAAACAAGUUAAAUAGUUUCUGUUGUUUGCUCAUCUAGAUAACAAUUUAAAUAGCAAUUUAUGUAAAUAGUUCACAGAUGUAUUAGUUUUAUGGAUUAUAAACCUGUGAAAGUAUCAGUUCUAAACAUUAAAUAGCAAAUUAAUUUUUUUACAGAAGGGAUACAUUGGUAAAUUUUUGAGGUUAGGACUUGGCAUUUUAAAAAAUUAUUAUAGAAGUAAUAGGCAUAUUGUGAAAAACCAAAUAAUGGAAAGUAGAAACAUAUUUUCUCCUGCUCAUUUCCUAUUUCCACUUCCCCUUACCUUAUUACUGUACUACCCCCACUGUUAAAAGUUAGCUACAAAUUCAGGAGUUCGAGUUCCCCAAUGUCUGUCUAGGUGAUAAUGUGUGAAACACAAUGUCAUCAUACUGUAAAAGCCCUUCUGUACCUUGCCUUCCUCUUUCGCCACUGAACAGUAAUUCAUGACUUUGUAAAGUACCUAUAUUUCUACCUUAUGUCAUUUAUUUGCUAUAAAAUAUGACAUUUUUUAAAAUCUGUCAUAAUGUGUUUAACUACUUAUUUAUGGAAAUUUUAACUGUCUCCCAGUUAUAUUUAUAAAGUGUUGGAUGGCUCCUCUCUUCUGUGUAUUACUUAAAAAAAAAAUUAAGAAAUGUAGCUUUUAGAGAACCCCACUAGUAUCCAUAAGGGUGCAGAUUUGAUCCCUGGCCUUGCUCAGAGAGUUAAGGACCUGGCAUUGCCCCAAACCAGGUAUAGGUUGCAGAUGCGGCUGAGAUCCUGCUUUGCUGUGACUGUGGCAUAGGCAGGUAGCUGUGGCUCCGAUUCAACCUCUAUCCUGGGAACUUCCAUAUGCCGCAGGUU